UCGCUGCAAACGAAGUCGAUAGUAAUUUCUCUCAUGUUUCCCUUAUGCAAAUUUGUGGCAUGUGCAGAAUUAUUUAUGUUUCUUCUUGCAACAUGUAGAUGAUAGGGAAAGCAAUGGUGAACUUUUCCUUUUUUUUCUCAUCAAGUGUGCUUGACUGAAUUUGGAUGGUGGCUAUUUGGAAGGAAUGGUCAAGAAUAAGCAGCAACUAGAUCAUUUUUCUUCUACUUGGAUUUGAUUUCUUCUUCUCAGAUUCUACUAUUUUAGGUUUGUUGCAUUUUCACGGUUUCUUCCCGAGGAUUAUUCAUACAUGUCUUGACCUUGAUUUAGAUGAACAAGAGCCGAUUCUUUGGCAAGACUCCCAGCUGCAGACGCCUAUUUUUCAAUAAAAGAGAUCUCCCUGUUUAGAUGUAAGAUCUUUACGUUAUUCUAUUUAGCCUGCUAAGCUGCAUGUAUUAUGUGUAAACGCAUCAUGGUAUUUUAUGGUAUAGUCAGUCCAUCCUUUCUCAGUACAGUGGCCAAUUAAUGUGAAGUAGCCAUUUGCUUGCAUAUCAAUACUGGAAGUCUGGAACAUCUUUAGAAUCAUUUAUUUCGAAUUAGUUACCCAUGUUUCCAGUCCACUAUAGUGUAUGUUCACAAGUACAAUUUUAUGGUUUAUUAAUUGUUGCUUCAAAUUUCUCCUUGCAGCCUCACUAUAUCAGCAAAAUCCCCUAAUCCGAUUUCCUGCAAUGUAUUUAGCUUGAUUUUCUUUGUGUUUUGUGCAAAUUCUAGCGGCAUAUUAUUUUUGGGUUAUGUUCUGAUUAUAUGUCCACAUCCUAUGGUGUUUAACUCAAUGAUUAACUUAAGCAGAAACAUAUGGUUACAUCACGAUACCAUCCUCAUCAUUUCAAUUUUAUGUGAGAGAUUUGUGUAUUUCCACAUUAUGACAAUUAUAAUAUCAGUUCUCUAUUGAUAGCGCAAGAACUUUGUGUUCUGAUUUUUUCAUAUAUAUUGGAAGUAGCACGUGGUGCGUACAGUUAGGGUGACACAACUAGCAAAGUGCAGAUAUAGACACAGAACAAGAAGAUACCUUCAUUGACGAUAAGUUACGAUGGGUUCGUUGUUACGCCCCCUUCAAUAAUAUAUUAGAAAGGUUGAUGCAAAUCAAUGGUGUACAUUAAAGCAUAUUAUUUUAACUGAAAGUGAAAUGUAUUCUAUUGUACUUCACGAAAUUGCUAAAAGAAAUAAUAUAUACAUGUGCGGUUU
Triticum aestivum (bread wheat) is the source of this 1242-nucleotide long non-coding RNA. RefSeq lists it as uncharacterized. The transcript has 2 exons. Lineage: Eukaryota; Viridiplantae; Streptophyta; Magnoliopsida; Poales; Poaceae. The record is from RefSeq and is a predicted model, not a curated record.